CUGACACGGCCACAACACAAUAAACACAAAAAUAGUUUAAAUAAAAGAUGUAGGCAACAAAAAUGGAUAUCAUUAACAAUAGUUUAUCCUUUACUAGACUCCUAAAAUGACAAAACAGAACACAAUAUAAACCAUAAAAAUGCAGAGCAAUUCCGAUAUAUAUCACUUCGAUACGCCAACAAAACCGCGCUUUUCAAAACGACAAUUCUCAAAAUACUAUUUUCUGAAUGAUUCUGAAUCCGAUUUAUACGCAAGCGAUGUAAGUGAAGAAAGCUUUGAUGAUACAGAGCCACCAAAUAAACCACAUAAGAAAGAACUUCAUAAUCGAUCGAUCCAUGAAAAGUUGUCGAAACCAGUUUUAAAAUCGGAUGACAUAAUUACAAAACAUGAAUCAAACGAAAAGCCCAUACAGCGUAUGGACUGGGAGAACUACCAUCGUCUAAAUGUGAUACAUAAUUUUAUGGAUGAAUUGGAAUGUACUUACCCAUCUAUAUGCACAGUGGGACUCAUAGGAGCCUCUCUCGAAGGAAGAGAUUUAAAGAUCCUUAAGAUAUCGAACAGUGUUGCUAGUAAUGCUGCAGUAUGGAUGGAUGCUGGAAUACAUGCCAGGGAGUGGGUAGCACCCGCAGUAAACACAUACAUCGCUAAUCAUAUCGCAGAAAACUUUAAUACAUUGCCAGAAUAUCUUACCAAUAAGGACUGGUACUUUCUUCCAGUGGUCAAUCCUGAUGGUUAUGAAUAUUCGCACACAGUUAAUCGGAUGUGGAGAAAAAAUAGAGCCUGGCAUGGGGGUCAAUGCUUGGGUGUCGAUUUGAACAGAAACUUUAGUUACGGCUGGGGUGGUAGCGGUUCUUCGGAUAAUCCAAAACAUGCUUUUUAUCGCGGACCAGAGCCUUUCUCGGAGCCAGAGUCAUCAGCUAUGAGGGAUUUUCUGUCGAAAAGUGGUAUUUCUUUCAAAGUCUACAUAACAUUACAUAGUUAUGGACAAAUUAUUCUGUUCCCUUUUGCGUUUAGAGAUGAGCUGUGCCCGGACUAUGUUAAAUUACUUGAGGGGGCUGCUGUAAUGUCUAAGACGAUUUACGAAACCAAUGGGAACACCUACAAAGUAGGUAUAUCAAGGGAUGUUAUGUAUGGGGCGGCUGGUACUAGUAAUGAUUGGAGCUACGGAGCAGCUGGAAUCCCUUACUGCUAUCUCAUUGAGCUGCGAAGCAAGAAACAUAAGUUCAAACUACCCAAAGAAGAGAUACAGGAGACGGGAAAUGAAAUACUGAAUUCUGUGAUGGCGUUGAUGGAGUUUAUUGAUGAGAAGGAACGGGUGAAGGAUCGACAGGACAUAAACAGGACAUAAACGUUGUCAUAAAUUAAAUCAGAACAAACAACAAAUCAUUUUCAAAAUUGCAAGUAUAUUAAAAACUUCAUAAAAAUACUAUUAAACACGACAGUUUCAACAAAAAUCACAGUGGCACUACUCAACUCCAAGACCCAAGUCUGGGAAAUAAGAUUUACGAAUGAGGGACAGAGAUUGUUUAUGAAAACAUUAGACACAGCAGGAGCAAUUAACAUUUGGAAAGAAGAGCAUAGCACUAUGGAUGUGAUGGUGGAACGGCCUAGAGCGGCUCAAGUCGCGGGCAUGUUGCAUGAAAGGGAGAUUCCAUAUGCAAUCGCUGUAGGAGAUGUGAAUU
RNA transcript from Pieris napi, 1682 nucleotides. It is a transcript of the gene named carboxypeptidase B-like, with no coding region annotated. The record is from RefSeq and is a predicted model, not a curated record. The transcript is spliced from 9 exons. Lineage: Eukaryota; Metazoa; Arthropoda; Insecta; Lepidoptera; Pieridae.